Molecule: ribosomal RNA, 1465 nt
Filed under: Klebsiella pneumoniae
Lineage: Bacteria; Pseudomonadati; Pseudomonadota; Gammaproteobacteria; Enterobacterales; Enterobacteriaceae
Description: bacterial SSU rRNA
Rfam family: Bacterial small subunit ribosomal RNA
Source: RNAcentral
GCGGCAGGCUAACACAUGCAGUCGAGCGGUAGCACAGAGAGCUUGCUCUCGGGUGACGAGCGGCGGACGGGUGAGUAAUGUCUGGGAAACUGCCUGAUGGAGGGGGAUAACUACUGGAAACGGUAGCUAAUACCGCAUAACGUCGCAAGACCAAAGUGGGGGACCUUCGGGCCUCAUGCCAUCAGAUGUGCCCAGAUGGGAUUAGCUAGUAGGUGGGGUAACGGCUCACCUAGGCGACGAUCCCUAGCUGGUCUGAGAGGAUGACCAGCCACACUGGAACUGAGACACGGUCCAGACUCCUACGGGAGGCAGCAGUGGGGAAUAUUGCACAAUGGGCGCAAGCCUGAUGCAGCCAUGCCGCGUGUGUGAAGAAGGCCUUCGGGUUGUAAAGCACUUUCAGCGGGGAGGAAGGCGAUAAGGUUAAUAACCUUGUCGAUUGACGUUACCCGCAGAAGAAGCACCGGCUAACUCCGUGCCAGCAGCCGCGGUAAUACGGAGGGUGCAAGCGUUAAUCGGAAUUACUGGGCGUAAAGCGCACGCAGGCGGUCUGUCAAGUCGGAUGUGAAAUCCCCGGGCUCAACCUGGGAACUGCAUUCGAAACUGGCAGGCUAGAGUCUUGUAGAGGGGGGUAGAAUUCCAGGUGUAGCGGUGAAAUGCGUAGAGAUCUGGAGGAAUACCGGUGGCGAAGGCGGCCCCCUGGACAAAGACUGACGCUCAGGUGCGAAAGCGUGGGGAGCAAACAGGAUUAGAUACCCUGGUAGUCCACGCCGUAAACGAUGUCGAUUUGGAGGUUGUGCCCUUGAGGCGUGGCUUCCGGAGCUAACGCGUUAAAUCGACCGCCUGGGGAGUACGGCCGCAAGGUUAAAACUCAAAUGAAUUGACGGGGGCCCGCACAAGCGGUGGAGCAUGUGGUUUAAUUCGAUGCAACGCGAAGAACCUUACCUGGUCUUGACAUCCACAGAACUUACCAGAGAUGGCUUGGUGCCUUCGGGAACUGUGAGACAGGUGCUGCAUGGCUGUCGUCAGCUCGUGUUGUGAAAUGUUGGGUUAAGUCCCGCAACGAGCGCAACCCUUAUCCUUUGUUGCCAGCGGUUAGGCCGGGAACUCAAAGGAGACUGCCAGUGAUAAACUGGAGGAAGGUGGGGAUGACGUCAAGUCAUCAUGGCCCUUACGACCAGGGCUACACACGUGCUACAAUGGCAUAUACAAAGAGAAGCGACCUCGCGAGAGCAAGCGGACCUCAUAAAGUAUGUCGUAGUCCGGAUUGGAGUCUGCAACUCGACUCCAUGAAGUCGGAAUCGCUAGUAAUCGUAGAUCAGAAUGCUACGGUGAAUACGUUCCCGGGCCUUGUACACACCGCCCGUCACACCAUGGGAGUGGGUUGCAAAAGAAGUAGGUAGCUUAACCUUCGGGAGGGCGCUUACCACUUUGUGAUUCAUGACUGGGGAAGUCGAACAAGUAACGA